Molecule: ribosomal RNA, 370 nt
Filed under: Bacillus cereus
Lineage: Bacteria; Bacillati; Bacillota; Bacilli; Caryophanales; Bacillaceae
Description: bacterial SSU rRNA
Rfam family: Bacterial small subunit ribosomal RNA
Source: RNAcentral
AGCGGUGGAGCAUGUGGUUUAAUUCGAAGCAACGCGAAGAACUUACCAGGUCUUGACAUCCUCUGACAACCCUAGAGAUAGGGCUUCUCUUCGGGAGCAGAGUGACAGGUGGUGCAUGGUUGUCGUCAGCUCGUGUCGUGAGAUGUUGGGUUAAGUCCCGCAACGAGCGCAACCCUUGAUCUUAGUUGCCAUCAUUAAGUUGGGCACUCUAAGGUGACUGCGGUGACAAACCGGAGGAAGGUGGGGAUGACGUCAAAUCAUCAUGCCCCUUAUGACCUGGGCUACACACGUGCUACAAUGGACGGUACAAAGAGCUGCAAGACCGCGAGGUGGAGCUAAUCUCAUAAAACCGUUCUCAGUUCGGAUUGUA